CCUACGGGAGGCAGCAGUGGGGAAUUUUGGACAAUGGGCGCAAGCCUGAUCCAGCCAUGCCGCGUGCGGGAAGAAGGCCUUCGGGUUGUAAACCGCUUUUGUCAGGGAAGAAAAGGUUCUGGCUAAUACCUGGGACUCAUGACGGUACCUGAAGAAUAAGCACCGGCUAACUACGUGCCAGCAGCCGCGGUAAUACGUAGGGUGCAAGCGUUAAUCGGAAUUACUGGGCGUAAAGCGUGCGCAGGCGGUUAUGCAAGACAGAGGUGAAAUCCCCGGGCUCAACCUGGGAACUGCCUUUGUGACUGCAUAGCUAGAGUACGGUAGAGGGGGAUGGAAUUCCGCGUGUAGCAGUGAAAUGCGUAGAUAUGCGGAGGAACACCGAUGGCGAAGGCAAUCCCCUGGACCUGUACUGACGCUCAUGCACGAAAGCGUGGGGAGCAAACAGGAUUAGAUACCCUGGUAGUCCACGCCCUAAACGAUGUCAACUGGUUGUUGGGAGGGUUUCUUCUCAGUAACGUAGCUAACGCGUGAAGUUGACCGCCUGGGGAGUACGGCCGCAAGGUUGAAACUCAAAUGAAUUGACGGCGNGAGAGAGCGACGACGACGACGAGGGAGGAGG
Molecule: ribosomal RNA, 619 nt
Filed under: uncultured bacterium
Lineage: Bacteria
Description: bacterial SSU rRNA
Rfam family: Bacterial small subunit ribosomal RNA
Source: RNAcentral